RNAcentral lists this long non-coding RNA (557 nucleotides) under Ornithorhynchus anatinus (platypus). RNAcentral's name for it is "lncRNA (ENSOANG00000046735.1)". The record is from RNAcentral. Lineage: Eukaryota; Metazoa; Chordata; Mammalia; Monotremata; Ornithorhynchidae.
GGGCACUGAUGAGCAAAGGCAGAGCCAAAGGCUAAACUAGCAGGAGGAUGCCAAAGUUCCUGACAUUGGACUGAGUAGCGAAGGGAAGGCGUUCAGGAAAACAAGGGGGGAAUAUUACCCCAGCCCCCUCUAAAGGGGGAGUACCGAGAAUGAAAGAAUAGUUAAAACUGAGAAUUACCUGGAGUUGAGAACCUUCUAAAUUCUCUCCAGGAGGAUAUUUUCCCCAGAAGAAACCCAAGAGGAGGAUUCUAUAAACUGGAAGAGCCCUAAGGAAGGAGACCACUGAUUUAUCAUGGGAGCUGGUGUUCUGGUGAAAGGUCUUAUCCAAGAGGAGCAACCAAAUGGACUGGCCUAUGGAAAUGAGCCAAAGGGGCCAACUGCAGAGUUGCUGAGCUGUUAUCUGAGGGGGACUUACACAAGGCUGAGCUCCGCUUACCAGCUGAGGAUACAACACAGAGAGUUGACUGUCGUGAGAACCCGGAGUUGCGGUCAUAGGGAACAUAACUUCUCUCCCUCAGAAGAGCCAUCUACUACUGAACUGCUCAAUAAGAGACUCA